UACGGAGGGAGCUAGCGUUUGUUCGGAAUUACUGGGCGUAAAGCGCACGUAGGCGGCUUUGUAAGUUAGAGGUGAAAGCCCGGAGCUCAACUCCGGAAUUGCCUUUAAGACUGCAUCGCUCGAAUCCAGGAGAGGUGAGUGGAAUUCCGAGUGUAGAGGUGAAAUUCGUAGAUAUUCGGAAGAACACCAGUGGCGAAGGCGGCUCACUGGACUGGUAAUUGACGCUGAGGUGCGAAAGCGUGGGGAGCAACAGG
RNAcentral lists this ribosomal RNA (254 nucleotides) under uncultured bacterium. RNAcentral describes it as "partial 16S ribosomal RNA". It matches the Rfam family "Bacterial small subunit ribosomal RNA", at positions 524 to 775 of the family's 1533-position model. The record is from RNAcentral.